AACUUUAGUGUGGGCCCAGCAUGGCCAGAUGGAUAAGGCGCUUGAUCGCAAUCUGAGGGUCGCGGGUUCGAAUCCCCGUCCCACCAAACAUGUUCGCCAUUUCAGCAGUGAGGGCGUUAUGAUGUUGUGGUCAAUCCCUCUAUUCGUUGGUAAAA
This is a long non-coding RNA of Limulus polyphemus (Atlantic horseshoe crab), 155 nucleotides long. RefSeq lists it as uncharacterized. The record is from RefSeq and is a predicted model, not a curated record. The transcript has 3 exons. NCBI's taxonomy places the organism in Eukaryota, Metazoa, Arthropoda, Merostomata, Xiphosura, Limulidae.